GAUGAACGCUGGCGGCGUGCCUAAUACAUGCAAGUCGAGCGAACAGACGAGGAGCUUGCUCCUCUGACGUUAGCGGCGGACGGGUGAGUAACACGUGGAUAACCUACCUAUAAGACUGGGAUAACUUCGGGAAACCGGAGCUAAUACCGGAUAAUAUAUUGAACCGCAUGGUUCAAUAGUGAAAGACGGUUUUGCUGUCACUUAUAGAUGGAUCCGCGCCGCCUUAGCUGGUUGGUAAGGUAACGGCUUACCAAGGCGACGAUGCGUAGCCGACCUGGGAGGGUGAUCGGCCACACUGGAACUGAGAAACGGUCCAUACUCCUACGGGAGGCAGCAGUAGGGAAUCUUCCGCAAUGGGCGAAAGCCUGACGGAGCAACGCCGCGUGAGUGAUGAAGGUCUUCGGAUCGUAAAACUCUGUUAUUAGGGAAGAACAAAUGUGUAAGUAACUAUGCACGUCUUGACGGUACCUAAUCAGAAAGCCACGGCUAACUACGUG
RNAcentral lists this ribosomal RNA (497 nucleotides) under uncultured bacterium. RNAcentral describes it as "partial 16S ribosomal RNA". It matches the Rfam family "Bacterial small subunit ribosomal RNA", at positions 28 to 507 of the family's 1533-position model. The record is from RNAcentral.